UUUCGAUAAAGGCAAACCUCCGCCACAGUACUUGGCGGACCCGCCAGAUAGUGUGGCGGGUACGGUGACGUAGGGACGCAAAGUUCCGGUCCCACCACCUGUUUUUGUUAGGUGGCGGGAGGCCGAGCUGCCGAA
Molecule: non-coding RNA, 135 nt
Filed under: Candidatus Omnitrophota bacterium
Lineage: Bacteria; Pseudomonadati; Candidatus Omnitrophota
Description: Omnitrophica WOR c-di-GMP sequence
Rfam family: c-di-GMP-I riboswitch aptamer
About the family: GEMM was predicted in a large-scale screen for bacterial structured RNA regulatory elements. Genes associated with GEMM are involved in a diverse array of functions, including chemotaxis regulation, signal transduction, secretion and chitin.
Source: RNAcentral